AGCGAACGCUGGCGGCAGGCUUAACACAUGCAAGUCGAGCGGGCAUAGCAAUAUGUCAGCGGCAGACGGGUGAGUAACGCGUGGGAACGUACCUUUUGGUUCGGAACAACUGAGGGAAACUUCAGCUAAUACCGGAUAAGCCCUUACGGGGAAAGAUUUAUCGCCGAAAGAUCGGCCCGCGUCUGAUUAGCUAGUUGGUGAGGUAAUGGCUCACCAAGGCGACGAUCAGUAGCUGGUCUGAGAGGAUGAUCAGCCACAUUGGGACUGAGACACGGCCCAAACUCCUACGGGAGGCAGCAGUGGGGAAUAUUGGACAAUGGGCGCGAGCCUGAUCCAGCCAUGCCGCGUGAGUGAUGAAGGCCCUAGGGUUGUAAAGCUCUUUUGUGCGGGAAGAUAAUGACGGUACCGCAAGAAUAAGCCCCGGCUAACUUCGUGCCAGCCGCCGCAGUAA
This 451-nucleotide ribosomal RNA is filed under the name uncultured bacterium. RNAcentral's name for it is "partial 16S ribosomal RNA". It matches the Rfam family "Bacterial small subunit ribosomal RNA", at positions 29 to 523 of the family's 1533-position model. The record is from RNAcentral.